AAAUUGAAGAGUUUGAUCAUGGCUCAGAUUGAACGCUGGCGGCAGGCCUAACACAUGCAAGUCGAACGGUAACAGGAAUCAGCUUGCUGAUUCGCUGACGAGUGGCGGACGGGUGAGUAAUGUCUGGGAAACUGCCUGAUGGAGGGGGAUAACUACUGGAAACGGUAGCUAAUACCGCAUAAUGUCGCAAGACCAAAGAGGGGGACCUUCGGGCCUCUUGCCAUCGGAUGUGCCCAGAUGGGAUUAGCUUGUUGGUGGGGUAACGG
RNAcentral lists this ribosomal RNA (266 nucleotides) under Shigella boydii. RNAcentral's name for it is "partial 16S ribosomal RNA". It matches the Rfam family "Bacterial small subunit ribosomal RNA", at positions 1 to 263 of the family's 1533-position model. The record is from RNAcentral. Lineage: Bacteria; Pseudomonadati; Pseudomonadota; Gammaproteobacteria; Enterobacterales; Enterobacteriaceae.